CUUGUUGUGUUUUAUUGUGUUGCAUUGUGUGUGUGUUGUAUCGUUGUUGAUAUAUUAUCGUCUUCCUCACUCUUUGUGUCGGAUAAUAUUUUUUCUUGUUUCUCAUCAUCUUCUUGCAGGUUACUUUGGUCUGCGAAUGAUGUUGAUGGCAUAUCCUCUAGUCGGAUAUAGGGUUGUUCUUCUCGUUGAAUUUUUUGCCUCGAGUUGUCAAAGAUGAUAACCUCUUUGUCUUCGUCCUCACUUUCCAUGAUGUAAGUAACUAGCUUGGAAGUCCAUCUUGCGGUUACUUGUUUGGAUGUUUCGUUUCCGAUAAUGCUUUGCGCGAUGUGUAAAGGUUUUUUCGACGUAACUUCGACCUCUUUAUUUCAUCUUACUGUCGUUGUUGAAGUGACGAUGAAUUUUGUAUCGUACGUCUCGUCGUAUGUCACAAAUUUGUCGAUAUAUGAUAUCGCAUUUGACGUUAUCUUCUCGACUUUGUGCAUCAGGUCGCUGAUUUUUUCUUCUCCGUCGCUAUCGCUUUGAAUUAUCGGUGUAUUUGUAAGUAAUUCGAUGGUUUCCUCGAGUUUCCUCGAGUUUCACACAACACAUAACAACAGCACGAUCUGCUGUGGAAAGAUGCAUAGGUAUUUUAAAAGGCCGAUGGCGAUGUUUACGAAAAGAAAGGGCAUUGCAUUAUCAGCCAGAAUUUGCAGCUCAUAUUAUAAAUGCAUGUUGUGUUCUACAUAAUAUUGCAAUAAAAUAGAGAAUUCCACCAAAUGAAAUAUGUUUAGAGGAUAUAGAUCAAGAAGCACCAAUUCCAUAUAAUGGUGUUAAUGGAAAUAACGCUGAACAAAUACGAAGAGAUAUUAUUAGAUGGUAUUUUGAAUAGUUUUUUAUUUCAAACAUACAUAUAUUGCUGGAACUUUGUGAAGACAAAUUAAACAUAAAGUUAAACAUUUAUACUCUCGAUCUAACAAUAAAGCAAUUAAUUAUAAUCAUAAA
Non-coding RNA from Nylanderia fulva, 981 nucleotides. NCBI's taxonomy places the organism in Eukaryota, Metazoa, Arthropoda, Insecta, Hymenoptera, Formicidae. The record is from RefSeq and is a predicted model, not a curated record.